RNAcentral lists this non-coding RNA (33 nucleotides) under Geobacter sulfurreducens PCA. The record is from RNAcentral. Lineage: Bacteria; Pseudomonadati; Thermodesulfobacteriota; Desulfuromonadia; Geobacterales; Geobacteraceae.
GUGCCAAACAAGCCGUCAGUGCUUUUGGCGGGC